AUUGAACGCUGGCGGCAUGCCUUACACAUGCAAGUCGAACGGCAGCACGGGUGCUUGCACCUGGUGGCGAGUGGCGAACGGGUGAGUAAUACAUCGGAACGUGCCCAGUCGUGGGGGAUAACGUAGCGAAAGCUACGCUAAUACCGCAUACGAUCUAAGGAUGAAAGCGGGGGAUCGCAAGACCUCGCGCGAUUGGAGCGGCCGAUGGCAGAUUAGGUAGUUGGUGGGGUAAAGGCUCACCAAGCCGACGAUCUGUAGCUGGUCUGAGAGGACGACCAGCCACACUGGGACUGAGACACGGCCCAGACUCCUACGGGAGGCAGCAGUGGGGAAUUUUGGACAAUGGGCGCAAGCCUGAUCCAGCCAUUCCGCGUGCAGGAUGAAGGCCCUCGGGUUGUAAACUGCUUUUGUACGGAACGAAAAGGCUCUGGUUAAUACCUGGGGCUCAUGACGGUACCGUAAGAAUAAGCACCGGCUAACUACGUGCCAGCCGCCGCAGUAA
This 502-nucleotide ribosomal RNA is filed under the name uncultured bacterium. RNAcentral describes it as "partial 16S ribosomal RNA". It matches the Rfam family "Bacterial small subunit ribosomal RNA", at positions 30 to 523 of the family's 1533-position model. The record is from RNAcentral.